AUUGGGCGUAAGCGCGCGCAGGCGGUCCUUUAAGUCUGAUGUGAAAGCCCACGGCUCAACCGUGGAGGGUCAUUGGAAACUGGGGGACUUGAGUGCAGAAGAGGAAAGCGGAAUUCCUCGUGUAGCGGUGAAAUGCGUAGAGAUGUGGAGGAACACCAGUGGCGAAGGCGGCUUUCUGGUCUGUAACUGACGCUGAGGCGCGAAAGCGUGGGGAGCAAACAGGAUUAAAUACCCUGGUAGUCCACCCCGUAAACGAUGAGUGCUAAGUGUUAGAGGGUUUCCUCCCUCCCAGUGCUGCAGCUAACGCAUUAAGCACUCCGCCUGGCGAGUACGGUCGCAAGGCUGAAACUCAAAUGAAUUG
This 361-nucleotide ribosomal RNA is filed under the name Neobacillus drentensis. RNAcentral describes it as "bacterial SSU rRNA". It matches the Rfam family "Bacterial small subunit ribosomal RNA", at positions 553 to 912 of the family's 1533-position model. Lineage: Bacteria; Bacillati; Bacillota; Bacilli; Caryophanales; Bacillaceae. The record is from RNAcentral.